AAAACGAGUCUCUGAGAACUUAGCAGCUUGAGCAAACCCUUCAGAUCAAGAAACACAAUCCAUCUCAGGUCCUAUGAAACUUUAUCUAACAGUAUCAGCAUGGACCUUUAUUAUGACUAAACAACAUAACCGAGAAAGGAGCUAGCUUCAGACCAGUUGGAAUCAGAAGAGAGAACAGAAGCCCAGUGGGAAUUGCAAAGACAAAACACCACAGUGUACCAGAUGAAUGCAGACCUCCAGCAUGCUCAAAUGGUGGCAGAAGAAACAAAGAUUCAACUGGACAAGGCUGAGGUGGAGGCAGUGACCAUGAAGAGCAGUACAGCCAGACGCUAAAAGAGGUAAUAUUCCUAGCCAGCUGUCUAAGAGAUUUCAAACAGAGGGGAAUCAAACCCUCCCUUUUUC
This 402-nucleotide long non-coding RNA is filed under the name Phascolarctos cinereus (koala). RNAcentral's name for it is "lncRNA (ENSPCIG00000031313.1)". The record is from RNAcentral. Lineage: Eukaryota; Metazoa; Chordata; Mammalia; Diprotodontia; Phascolarctidae.